GAUGAACGCUGGCGGCGUGCCUAAUACAUGCAAGUCGAGCGAACAGACGAGGAGCUUGCUCCUCUGACGUUAGCGGCGGACGGGUGAGUAACACGUGGAUAACCUACCUAUAAGACUGGGAUAACUUCGGGAAACCGGAGCUAAUACCGGAUAAUAUAUUGAACCGCAUGGUUCAAUAGUGAAAGACGGUUUUGCUGUCACUUAUAGAUGGAUCCGCGCCGCAUUAGCUAGUUGGUAAGGUAACGGCUUACCAAGGCAACGAUGCGUAGCCGACCUGAGAGGGUGAUCGGCCACACUGGAACUGAGACACGGUCCAGACUCCUACGGGAGGCAGCAGUAGGGAAUCUUCCGCAAUGGGCGAAAGCCUGACGGAGCAACGCCGCGUGAGUGAUGAAGGUCUUCGGAUCGUAAAACUCUGUUAUUAGGGAAGAACAAAUGUGUAAGUAACUAUGCACGUUUUGACGGUACCUAAUGAGAAAGCCACGGCUAACUACGUG
RNAcentral lists this ribosomal RNA (497 nucleotides) under uncultured bacterium. RNAcentral describes it as "partial 16S ribosomal RNA". It matches the Rfam family "Bacterial small subunit ribosomal RNA", at positions 28 to 507 of the family's 1533-position model. The record is from RNAcentral.